CGUAGGUGGCGAGCGUUGUCCGGAAUUAUUGGGCGUAAAGGGAGCGGCAGGCGGGAGGUCAAGUCUAUCUUAAAAGUGCGGGGCUCAACCCCGUGAGGGGAUGGAAACUGGUCUUCUUGAGUGCAGGAGAGGAAAGCGGAAUUCCUAGUGUAGCGGUGAAAUGCGUAGAUAUUAGGAGGAACACCAGUGGCGAAGGCGGCUUUCUGGACUGUAACUGACGCUGAGGCUCGAAAGCGUGGGGAGCGA
Molecule: ribosomal RNA, 246 nt
Filed under: uncultured bacterium
Lineage: Bacteria
Description: partial 16S ribosomal RNA
Rfam family: Bacterial small subunit ribosomal RNA
Source: RNAcentral